This 503-nucleotide ribosomal RNA is filed under the name uncultured Lysobacterales bacterium. RNAcentral describes it as "bacterial SSU rRNA". It matches the Rfam family "Bacterial small subunit ribosomal RNA", at positions 384 to 879 of the family's 1533-position model. The record is from RNAcentral. Lineage: Bacteria; Pseudomonadati; Pseudomonadota; Gammaproteobacteria; Lysobacterales.
UGAUCCAGCAAUGCCGCGUGGGUGAUGAAGGCCUGCGGGUUGUAAAGCCCUUUUGGCGGGGAAGAACAGCGGGGCGCGAAUACCGCGCGGCUCUGACGUUACCCGCACAAUAAGCACCGGCUAACUCCGUGCCACCAGCCUCGGUAAUACUGACGGUGCGAGCGUUAAUCGGAAUUACUGGGCGUAAAGCGUGCGUAAGCGGUUCGGUCAAUCAGCCGUGAAACCCCCGGGCUCAACCUGGGAACGGCGGUUGAAACGGCCGGACUAUAGUGGGCUAGAGGAUCAUGGAAUUCCCGGUGUAACGAUGAAAUGCGUAGAGAUCGGGAGGAACACCGAUGGCUGAACGCUGCGGUCUGGGGCCACACUGACGCUAAGGCACGAAAGCGUGGGGAGCACACAGGAUUAGAUACCCUGGUAUUCCACCCGGUAAACGAUGAGCACUAUACGUCUGGUGGGUGACCGUCCGGUGUCGCAGCUAACGCGCUAAGUGCUCCGCCUGGGGA